UGGGGCCUAAACCUUCUUCCAACACGUCCUCGCACUCGUCAUCUAACAUGUCGUCUUCGCAAGCUCGGACGCAAGAACCCUUUUCCGAGGAUUUUGUUAACAGCUUGUUCCAAACCCCGUCAUUUUUGAACCAACUUAACAACUAUCUUGCUUCACAAGGAAAAGGAAAAGGAAAGUCAAAAGACUACGAUUCUGACAACUUAUUCGAUAAUGAAUCCGACGAUGAACCCAACGAUAACGAUGACGAUGAGUGACUUGUUUUUAAUGUAUGCUUUGGAUUUAAUUAAACGUUGUAGGAUAUAAUGUACGACUUAAACGUAGUUUUUAAUUAUAUUACCUUUAGUAUAUGUUGAUUA
This is a long non-coding RNA of Helianthus annuus (common sunflower), 356 nucleotides long. RefSeq lists it as uncharacterized. NCBI's taxonomy places the organism in Eukaryota, Viridiplantae, Streptophyta, Magnoliopsida, Asterales, Asteraceae. The transcript has 2 exons. The record is from RefSeq and is a predicted model, not a curated record.